GUCAAACCAAGACAGAGUAUACACGAGGGUAGUGGUAGCAGCAGCGGUAACCCUGGACGUGUACGUGUUGCACUGCGUGUGCGCCCAAUGAACAAAGAGGAAACUGAAACUCAGGCUGCAUAUGGCGUGGAGACUGAGCAGGAGACAUCAAAGAUAACCCUGAAGCGCAACCAGUGGGACGAAGAUCAUUUCACCUUUGACGCUGUAUUCGCUGAGCACGCAUCUCAGCAGCGUGUUUACGAGGCUGUGGCCGAGCCUAUUGUGGAGAGUGUCCUUAAGGGUUUCAAUGGUACGGUUAUGGCGUACGGGCAAACCGGAACAGGGAAGACGCACACGUUGGGAAACUUGGGACUCAACGAUGUAUCAAGCCAAGGUAUCAUGCUCCGGUCAGUCGCUGCAAUCUUUGACGCAGCUGCUAACGAUGAGGAGGGCACGUAUACGGUGACCGCGAGCUAUCUACAGUUGUACAUGGAAACUGUUCAAGACCUUUGGGAUCCAAAGAAUCAAGAUAUCAAUAUUCAGGAGGAUC
This 529-nucleotide ribosomal RNA is filed under the name uncultured Pyramimonadales. Its description in RNAcentral is "partial Bacterial small subunit ribosomal RNA". Lineage: Eukaryota; Viridiplantae; Chlorophyta; Pyramimonadophyceae; Pyramimonadales. The record is from RNAcentral.